Molecule: long non-coding RNA, 258 nt
Filed under: Mytilus galloprovincialis (Mediterranean mussel)
Lineage: Eukaryota; Metazoa; Mollusca; Bivalvia; Mytilida; Mytilidae
Source: RNAcentral
AAAAGUUAGCGUGCAAUAAAUUCUAAUAUUGCACUAGUGCAAUAAAUCUUCAAAAUUCAUGACGUCAUUAACGACAAAAUCUUAGUUUAAACCAAUUUUUACUUUCAAAUAUUAUAUUGCUAUACAAUAAAAGGUUUUGCAUGAAUAUUGGGGAAUAUUGUCCCUCGUAGAACAUAUAUUGCACUCGCAAGCUCGUGCAAUAUAAAAUUCUACUCGGGACAAUAUUCCCCAAUAUUCAUGCAAUAACCCUAUAAUAUU